This 872-nucleotide ribosomal RNA is filed under the name bacterium enrichment culture clone F8 1.705-A17. Its description in RNAcentral is "bacterial SSU rRNA". It matches the Rfam family "Archaeal small subunit ribosomal RNA", at positions 1 to 883 of the family's 1478-position model. The record is from RNAcentral.
UUCCGGUUGAUCCCGCCGGAGGUCACUGCUAUCGGGGCUCGAUUAAGCCAUGCGAGUCGAGAGGGUUCGGCCCUCGGCGUACUGCUCAGUAACACGUGGAUAACCUGCCCUAAGGAAGGGGAUACCCCCGGGAAACUGGGGAUAAUACCCUAUAGGUUACAGAUGCUGGAAUGCUCUGUAACCGAAAGUUCCGGCGCCUUAGGAUGGAUCUGCGGCCGAUUAGGUUGUUGUCGGGGUAACGGCCCAACAAGCCAGUAAUCGGUACGGGUUGUGGGAGCAAGAGCCCGGAGUUGGAUUCUGAGACACGAAUCCAGGCCCUACGGGGCGCAGCAGGCGCGAAAACUUUACAAUGCGGGCAACCGUGAUAAGGGAACCUCGAGUGCCUGUAUAUGCAGGCUGUCUGGGUGUCUAAAACACACCUAAAGAAAGGGCCGGGCAAGACCGGUGCCAGCCGCCGCGGUAAUACCGGCGGCUCGAGUGGUGGCCACUUUUAUUGGGCUUAAAGCGUUCGUAGCUGGGUUAUUAAGUCCCUUGGGAAAUCCGACGGCUUAACCGUCGGGCGUCUAAGGGAUACUGGCAAUCUUGGAACCGGGAGAGGUGAGGGGUACUUCGGGGGUAGGAGUGAAAUCCUGUAAUCCUCGAGGGACCACCUGUGGCGAAGGCGCCUCACCAGAACGGCUUCGACAGUGAGGGACGAAAGCUGGGGGAGCAAACCGGAUUAGAUACCCGGGUAGUCCCAGCCGUAAACGAUGUGCGUUAGGUGUAUCGGUGACCACGAGUCACCGAGGUGCCGAAGGAAACCGUGAAACGUACCGCCUGGGAAGUACGGUCGCAAGGCUGAAACUUAAAGGAAUUGGCGGGGGAGCACCACA